RNAcentral lists this ribosomal RNA (468 nucleotides) under uncultured bacterium. RNAcentral's name for it is "partial 16S ribosomal RNA". It matches the Rfam family "Bacterial small subunit ribosomal RNA", at positions 28 to 507 of the family's 1533-position model. The record is from RNAcentral.
GACGAACGCUGGCGGCGUGCUUAACACAUGCAAGUCGAACGGAAAGGCCCUGCUUUUGUGGGGUGCUCGAGUGGCGAACGGGUGAGUAACACGUGAGUAACCUGCCCUUGACUUUGGGAUAACUUCAGGAAACUGGGGCUAAUACCGGAUAGGAGCUCCUGCUGCAUGGUGGGGGUUGGAAAGUUUCGGCGGUUGGGGAUGGACUCGCGGCUUAUCAGCUUGUUGGUGGGGUAGUGGCUUACCAAGGCUUUGACGGGUAGCCGGCCUGAGAGGGUGACCGGCCACAUUGGGACUGAGAUACGGCCCAGACUCCUACGGGGGGCAGCGGUGGGGAAUAUUGCACAAUGGGCGGAAGCCUGAUGCAGCAACGCCGCGUGCGGGAUGACGGCCGUCGGGUUGUAAACCGCUUUCGCCUGUGACGAAGCGUGAGUGACGGUAAUGGGUAAAGAAGCACCGGCUAACUACGUG